This 140-nucleotide long non-coding RNA is filed under the name Chinchilla lanigera (long-tailed chinchilla). RNAcentral describes it as "lncRNA (ENSCLAG00000023392.1)". Lineage: Eukaryota; Metazoa; Chordata; Mammalia; Rodentia; Chinchillidae. The record is from RNAcentral.
CACAAAUUUGUCUUCUGACUUUAGUCAGAGAGAGGAUGGUCCACAGGCACUUAAAUACAUCAGGAGUCAGCUGGAAAAAAUGAUCAGAGUUAAUGAGGAGUUAACUGUGCAAGCCAGUCUGCGCAAAAGCCAAGCACAAG